CAGCCGCCGCGGGAAUACAGAGGGUGCGAGCGUUAAUCGGAUUUACUGGGCGUAAAGCGUGCGUAGGCGGCUAAUUGAGUCGGAUGUGAAAUCCCCGAGCUUAACUUGGGAAUUGCAUUCGAUACUGGUUAGCUAGAGUGUGGGAGAGGAUGGUAGAAUUCCAGGUGUAGCGGUGAAAUGCGUAGAGAUCUGGAGGAAUACCGGUGGCGAAGGCGGCCCCCUGGACAAAGACUGACGCUCAGGUGCGAAAGCGUGGGGAGCAAACAGGAUUAGAUACCCCUGUAGUCCCUGUCUCUUAUAC
RNAcentral lists this ribosomal RNA (301 nucleotides) under uncultured bacterium. Its description in RNAcentral is "partial 16S ribosomal RNA". It matches the Rfam family "Bacterial small subunit ribosomal RNA", at positions 509 to 807 of the family's 1533-position model. The record is from RNAcentral.